AGAACGAACGCUGGCGGCAUGCCUAACACAUGCAAGUCGAACGCUUUUGGGGCUUCGGUCCCAAAGGAGUGGCGCACGGGUGAGUAGCGCGUGGGAACCUGCCCUGGAGUGGGGGAUAACCGAGGGAAACUUCGGCUAAUACCGCAUACGCCGGGAAACCGGGAAAGAUUUAUCGCUCUAGGAGGGGCCCGCGUCGGAUUAGGUAGUUGGUGGGGUAACGGCCUACCAAGCCUGUGAUCCGUAGCUGGUCUGAGAGGAUGAUCAGCCACACUGGGACUGAGACACGGCCCAGACUCCUACGGGAGGCAGCAGUGGGGAAUAUUGGACAAUGGGCGCAAGCCUGAUCCAGCAAUGCCGCGUGAGUGAUGAGGGCCUUCGGGUUGUAAAGCUCUUUCGCACGCGAGGAUGAUGACGGUACCGCAGAAGACGCCCCGGCUAACUUCGUGCCAGCAGCCGC
This 457-nucleotide ribosomal RNA is filed under the name uncultured bacterium. RNAcentral describes it as "SSU rRNA". It matches the Rfam family "Bacterial small subunit ribosomal RNA", at positions 26 to 518 of the family's 1533-position model. The record is from RNAcentral.